This 787-nucleotide ribosomal RNA is filed under the name Acanthamoeba sp. CRIB-21. Its description in RNAcentral is "SSU rRNA". It matches the Rfam family "Eukaryotic small subunit ribosomal RNA", at positions 594 to 1153 of the family's 1831-position model. The record is from RNAcentral. Lineage: Eukaryota; Discosea; Longamoebia; Acanthamoebidae.
AUAGCGUAUAUUAAAGUUGUUGCAGUUAAAAAGCUCGUAGUUGGAUCUAGGGACGCGCAUUUAUCAAGCGCCCGUGUCGUCGGGUCAAACUGGCGACUGCGUUGGCGUUGCGGGCUCGGUCCGUCGGUGCCCCCACAAAGGGCCAUCGGCGUGUCAACCGGCCCGCCCGUCCCCUCCUUCUGGAUUCCCGUUCCUGCUAUUGAGUUAGUGGGGACGUCACAGGGGGUUCAUCGUCGCGUUCACGCGCGGCGGUGGAUCCCUGGGGCCCAGAUCGUUUACCGUGAAAAAAUUAGAGUGUUCAAAGCAGGCAGAUCCAAUUCUCUGCCACCGAAUACAUUAGCAUGGGAUAAUGGAAUAGGACCCUGUCCUCCUAUUUUCAGUUGGUUUUGGCAGCGCGAGGACUAGGGUAAUGAUUAAUAGGGAUAGUUGGGGGCAUUAAUAUUUAAUUGUCAGAGGUGAAAUUCUUGGAUUUAUGAAAGAUUAACUUCUGCGAAAGCAUCUGCCAAGGAUGUUUUCAUUAAUCAAGAACGAAAGUUAGGGGAUCGAAGACGAUCAGAUACCGUCGUAGUCUUAACCAUAAACGAUGCCGACCAGCGAUUAGGAGACGUUGAAUACAAAACACCACCAUCGGCGCGGUCGUCCUUGGCUGGUCGUCCCUCACGGGGCGGCCGGCGGGGGCGGCUUAGCCCGAUGGCACCGGUGAAUGACUCCCCUAGCAGCUUGUGAGAAAUCAUAAGUCUUUGGGUUCCGGGGGGAGUAUGGUCGCAAGGCUGAAACUUAAAGGAAU